UAAUACAGAGGGUGCGAGCGUUAAUCGGAAUUACUGGGCGUAAAGCGCGCGUAGGCGGCUAUACAAGUCGAGUGUGAAAUCCCCGGGCUCAACCUGGGAACUGCAUUCGAGACUGUAUGGCUUGAGUAUGGGAGAGGGAGGCGGAAUUUCAGGUGUAGCGGUGAAAUGCGUAGAUAUCUGAAGGAACAUCAGUGGCGAAAGCGGCCUCCUGGACCAAUACUGACGCUCAUGUGCGAAAGCGUGGGGAGCAAACAGG
RNAcentral lists this ribosomal RNA (256 nucleotides) under uncultured bacterium. Its description in RNAcentral is "partial 16S ribosomal RNA". It matches the Rfam family "Bacterial small subunit ribosomal RNA", at positions 521 to 776 of the family's 1533-position model. The record is from RNAcentral.